Molecule: non-coding RNA, 199 nt
Filed under: Paracoccaceae bacterium
Lineage: Bacteria; Pseudomonadati; Pseudomonadota; Alphaproteobacteria; Rhodobacterales; Paracoccaceae
Source: RNAcentral
GUAUCCAGCGGAUGCUUCGGUGCGGAUGGAUCAUCCGCUGAAAGGGAAUUCGGUGCGGCCUCUCGGCCAAGUCCGGAACUGCCCCCGCAACUGUAAGCGGCGAGCGAUGUCGGCAAAUGCCACUGUGGUUCAACCAUGGGAAGGCCCGACAAAGCGACGACCCGCAAGUCAGGAGACCUGCCGAAGUGUUCACCCUAUC